Molecule: ribosomal RNA, 1351 nt
Filed under: Malaza carmides
Lineage: Eukaryota; Metazoa; Arthropoda; Insecta; Lepidoptera; Hesperiidae
Description: 16S ribosomal RNA
Source: RNAcentral
GGGGGUAGAUUUAAUUAAUUUUGAGUUAUUAAUAAAAAAAUUUUUAAUUAUAUUUUAAUGGGGGUUAAAGUAUAUAUAUAGAAAAAAUUUAUUAAUUUAUAGGGGAAUAGUAUUGUAAAAGAAUAUUGAAAUAAAUGAAAAUUUAAUUAUUAUUUAAGUAAAUUUAAUUUAUUGUAUCUUGUGUAUCAGAGUUUAUUAAUAAAAAUUUUUAAAAAAAAAAUUCUCGAAUUUAAAAGAGAUAUUUAAUUAUAAAAGUUAUUGUUUCAUAAAUAUUUUUAAUAAUUAAUUGGAAAUGAUAUGUUAAUCGUUUUUAAAUAUAUCUAGUUUUUUUAGAAAUAAAUUUAAUUUAGAAUUUUUUUUUACUUAAUAAAUAAAUUAAUUUAUUUAUUAAGUAAAAAAUUUAAUAUUUUAGGGGAUAAUCUUUAAAUUAAAUUUUUAUAAUUGAAAAAUUUUUAAAUUAAAAUUUUUAAAAUUUAUAUUGUUUAUAAAUUAUAUUUUUUUAUAAAAAAUUUUAUUUAUAAAUAAAAUUUUUAAUUAAUAUUUAAUUUUUUAUAAAAAAAUAAUUUUUAAUUAUUUUAAAUUAGAUAUAAUGAUAAAAUUAGUAUAAAUUUAAUUAAAUUUAAGAUAAAAUUAAUUGAAAAUUAAAAAAAAGGAAUUCGGCAAAUAUUUAUAUUCACUUGUUUAUCAAAAACAUGUCUUUUUGAUUAUAAUUUAAAGUCGAAUCUGCCCACUGAUUUAAUUAUUAAAGGGCUGCAGUAUAUUGACUGUACAAAGGUAGCAUAAUCAUUAGUCUUUUAAUUGAAGACUUGUAUGAAAGAUUUGAUGAAAUAUAGACUGUCUCUUUUAUAUAAUUAGAAAUUAAUUUUUUAGUAAAAAAGCUAAAAUUAUUUUAAAAGACGAGAAGACCCUAUAGAGUUUUAUAUUUAAUAAUAAUUGUAAUUUUAUGUAAAUUUUUAAUGAAGAUUAUUUUAAUUAUUUUGUUGGGGUGAUAGAAAAAUUAAUUAAACUUUUUUUUUUUAUUUACAUUAAUUUAUGAAAUAUUGAUCCAUAAUUUAUGAUUAAAAGAAAAAAUUACCUUAGGGAUAACAGCGUAAUUUUUUUUUUUAGUUCAAAUAAAAAAAAAAGUUUGCGACCUCGAUGUUGGAUUAAGGUAAAAUUUAAAUGCAGAAGUUUAAAGUUUUGAUCUGUUCGAUCAUUAAAAUCUUACAUGAUCUGAGUUCAAACCGGUGUAAGCCAGGUUGGUUUCUAUCUUUAGAAAAUUAAAAUAUUUUAGUACGAAAGGAUUAAAUAUUUAAAAUAAAUUUUAUUUUGUUAGAAUUUUAUUAAAUUUAAAUUUUAAAUUUUUAUGUAA